AGUGAACGCUGGCGGUAGGCCUAACACAUGCAAGUCGAACGGCAGCACAGUAAGAGCUUGCUCUUACGGGUGGCGAGUGGCGGACGGGUGAGGAAUACAUCGGAAUCUACUUUUUCGUGGGGGAUCACGUAGGGAAACUUACGCUAAUACCGCAUACGACCUACGGGUGAAAGCAGGGGAUCUUUGGACCUUGCGCGAUUGAAUGAGCCGAUGUCGGAUUAGCUAGUUGGCGGGGUAAAGGCCCACCAAGGCGACGAUCCGUAGCUGGUCUGAGAGGAUGAUCAGCCACACUGGAACUGAGACACGGUCCAGACGACUACGGGAGGCAGCAGUGGGGAAUAUUGGACAAUGGGCGCAAGCCUGAUCCAGCCAUACCGCGUGGGUGAAGAAGGCCUUCGGGUUGUAAAGCCCUUUUGUUGGGAAAGAAAAGCAGCAGGUUAAUACCCCGCUGUUCUGACGGUACCCAAAGAAUAAGCACCGGCUAACUUCGUG
This 492-nucleotide ribosomal RNA is filed under the name uncultured bacterium. Its description in RNAcentral is "partial 16S ribosomal RNA". It matches the Rfam family "Bacterial small subunit ribosomal RNA", at positions 29 to 507 of the family's 1533-position model. The record is from RNAcentral.